GAACUUAAGCAUAUCAAUAAGCGGAGGAA
Molecule: non-coding RNA, 29 nt
Filed under: Mus musculus (house mouse)
Lineage: Eukaryota; Metazoa; Chordata; Mammalia; Rodentia; Muridae
Also listed under: 1 other name
Source: RNAcentral